GGGAUUACAGGUGUGAGCCACCACGCCUGGCCAACUUUCCUAGGUGAUUCCAACAUGCAGUAUGUAAUAUACACCAUGGAAUACUAUACAGCCAUAAGAAAGGAAUGAGAUCAUGUUCUUUGCAGGCACAUGGAUGAAGCUAGAAGCCAUUAUCCUCAGCAAACUAACACAGGAAGAGAAAACCAAACACUGCAUGUUCUCAUAAGUGGGAGUUUAACAAUGAGAACACAUGGACACAGCGAGUGGAACAACACACACAAGGGCCUGUGGGGGGUGGAGGAUGGGAGGGAGAGCAGCAGGACAAAUAGCUAAUGCAUGUGGGGCUUAAAACCUAGAUGAUGG
RNAcentral lists this long non-coding RNA (342 nucleotides) under Homo sapiens (human). Lineage: Eukaryota; Metazoa; Chordata; Mammalia; Primates; Hominidae. The record is from RNAcentral.